GACGAACGCUGGCGGCGUGCCUAGUACAUGCAAGUUGAGCGCUGAAGGUUGGUACUUGUACCGACUGGAUGAGCAGCGAACGGGUGAGUAACGCGUGGGGAAUCUGCCUUUGAGCGGGGGACAACAUUUGGAAACGAAUGCUAAUACCGCAUAAAAACUUUAAACACAAGUUUUAAGUUUGAAAGAUGCAAUUGCAUCACUCAAAGAUGAUCCCGCGUUGUAUUAGCUAGUUGGUGAGGUAAAGGCUCACCAAGGCGAUGAUACAUAGCCGACCUGAGAGGGUGAUCGGCCACAUUGGGACUGAGACACGGCCCAAACUCCUACGGGAGGCAGCAGUAGGGAAUCUUCGGCAAUGGACGAAAGUCUGACCGAGCAACGCCGCGUGAGUGAAGAAGGGUUUCGGAUCGUAAAAUUCUGUUGGUAGAGAAGAACGUUGGUGAGAGUGGAAAGCUCAUCAAGUGACGGUAACUACCCAGAAAGGGACGGCUAACUACGUG
RNAcentral lists this ribosomal RNA (497 nucleotides) under uncultured bacterium. Its description in RNAcentral is "partial 16S ribosomal RNA". It matches the Rfam family "Bacterial small subunit ribosomal RNA", at positions 28 to 507 of the family's 1533-position model. The record is from RNAcentral.